Molecule: ribosomal RNA, 182 nt
Filed under: uncultured bacterium
Lineage: Bacteria
Description: partial 16S ribosomal RNA
Rfam family: Bacterial small subunit ribosomal RNA
Source: RNAcentral
GCAUGAAGUUGGAAUCGCUAGUAAUCGCGGAUCAGCAUGCCGCGGUGAAUACGUUCCCGGGCCUUGUACACACCGCCCGUCACACCAUGAGAGUCGGGAACACCCGAAGUCCGUAGCCUGACCGAAAGGGGGCGCGGCCGAAGGUGGGUUCGAUAAUUGGGGUGAAGUCGUAACAAGGUAGC